This 1311-nucleotide ribosomal RNA is filed under the name metagenome. RNAcentral describes it as "bacterial LSU rRNA". It matches the Rfam family "Bacterial large subunit ribosomal RNA", at positions 1602 to 2925 of the family's 2925-position model. The record is from RNAcentral.
ACACUGCCAAGAAAAGCUUCUAGUGAGAAAGUAACUGCCCGUACCGCAAACCGACACAGGUAGUUGAGGAGAGAAUCCUAAGGUGUGCGAGAGAACUCUCGUUAAGGAACUCGGCAAAAUGACCCCGUAACUUCGGGAGAAGGGGUGCUGACCGCAAGGUCAGCCGCAGUGAAUAGGCCCAAGCGACUGUUUAUCAAAAACACAGGUCUCUGCAAAAUCGAAAGAUGACGUAUAGGGGCUGACGCCUGCCCGGUGCUGGAAGGUUAAGAGGAGAGGUUAGCGCAAGCGAAGCUUUGAAUUGAAGCCCCAGUAAACGGCGGCCGUAACAAUAACGGUCCUAAGAUAGCGAAAUUCCUUGUCGGGUAAGUUCCGACCCGCACGAAAGGCGUAACGAUUGGGCACUGUCUCAACGAGAGACUCGGUGAAAUUAUAGUACCAGUGAAGAUGCUGGUUACCCGCGACAGGACGGAAAGACCCCAUGGAGCUUUACUGCAGUUUGAUAUUGCGUGUUUGUAUCACAUGUACAGGAUAGGUAGGAGCCGAAGAUACCGGGACGCCAGUCUCGGAGGAGGCAACGGUGGGAUACUACCCUUGUGAUAUGACCACUCUAACCCGCUGCUCUUAGCGAGCAGGGAGACAGUGUCAGACGGGCAGUUUGACUGGGGCGGUCGCCUCCAAAAAUGUAACGGAGGCGCCCAAAGGUUCCCUCAGAAUGGUUGGAAAUCAUUCGUAGAGUGUAAAGGCAGAAGGGAGCUUGACUGCGAGACCUACAAGUCGAGCAGGGACGAAAGUCGGGCAUAGUGAUCCGGUGGUUCCGCAUGGAAGGGCCAUCGCUCAACGGAUAAAAGCUACCCUGGGGAUAACAGGCUUAUCUCCCCCAAGAGUUCACAUCGACGGGGAGGUUUGGCACCUCGAUGUCGGCUCAUCGCAUCCUGGGGCUGUAGUCGGUCCCAAGGGUUGGGCUGUUCGCCCAUUAAAGCGGUACGCGAGCUGGGUUCAGAACGUCGUGAGACAGUUCGGUCCCUAUCCGUCGCGGGCGUUGGAAAUUUGAGAGGAGCUGUCCUUAGUACGAGAGGACCGGGAUGGACACACCGCUGGUGUACCAGUUGUUCUGCCAAGAGCAUCGCUGGGUAGCUAUGUGUGGACGGGAUAAACGCUGAAAGCAUCUAAGCGUGAAGCCCCCCUCAAGAUGAGAUUUCCCAUCACUUUAAGUGAGUAAGACCCCUGAGAGAUGAUCAGGUAGAUAGGUUGGGAGUGGAAGUACAGCGAUGUAUGGAGCGGACCAAUACUAAUCGGUCGAGGACUUAAUCA